GACGAACGCUGGCGGCGUGCCUAAUACAUGCAAGUUGAGCGCUGAAGGUUGGUACUUGUACCAACUGGAUGAGCAGCGAACGGGUGAGUAACGCGUGGGGAAUCUGCCUUUGAGCGGGGGACAACAUUUGGAAACGAAUGCUAAUACCGCAUAAAAACUUUAAACACAAGUUUUAAGUUUGAAAGAUGCUAUUGCCUCACUCAAAGAUGAUCCCGCGUUGUAUUAGCUAGUUGGUGAGGUAAAGGCUCACCAAGGCGAUGAUACAUAGCCGACCUGAGAGGGUGAUCGGCCACAUUGGGACUGAGACACGGCCCAAACUCCUACGGGAGGCAGCAGUAGGGAAUCUUCGGCAAUAGACGAAAGUCUGACCGAGCAACGCCGCGUGAGUGAAGAAGGUUUUCGGAUCGUAAAACUCUGUUGGUAGAGAAGAACGUUGGUGAGAGUGGAAAGCUCAUCAAGUGACGGUAACUACCCAGAAAGGGACGGCUAACUACGUG
RNAcentral lists this ribosomal RNA (497 nucleotides) under uncultured bacterium. Its description in RNAcentral is "partial 16S ribosomal RNA". It matches the Rfam family "Bacterial small subunit ribosomal RNA", at positions 28 to 507 of the family's 1533-position model. The record is from RNAcentral.